RNAcentral lists this non-coding RNA (29 nucleotides) under Mus musculus (house mouse). Lineage: Eukaryota; Metazoa; Chordata; Mammalia; Rodentia; Muridae. The record is from RNAcentral.
UCCAGGUGUGUGUGGAGGACAGCAUCUGA